UACGAAGGGGGCUAGCGUUGUUCGGAAUCACUGGGCGUAAAGCGCACGUAGGCGGUUUUGUAAGUCAGGGGUGAAAUCCCGGGGCUCAACCUCGGAACUGCCUUUGAUACUGCAAAUCUCGAGUCCGGAAGAGGUGAGUGGAAUUCCUAGUGUAGAGGUGAAAUUCGUAGAUAUUAGGAAGAACACCAGUGGCGAAGGCGGCUCACUGGUCCGGUACUGACGCUGAGGUGCGAAAGCGUGGGGAGCAAACAGG
RNAcentral lists this ribosomal RNA (253 nucleotides) under uncultured bacterium. Its description in RNAcentral is "partial 16S ribosomal RNA". It matches the Rfam family "Bacterial small subunit ribosomal RNA", at positions 524 to 776 of the family's 1533-position model. The record is from RNAcentral.